RNAcentral lists this unclassified non-coding RNA (122 nucleotides) under uncultured Ascomycota. RNAcentral's name for it is "sequence contains ITS1". The record is from RNAcentral. Lineage: Eukaryota; Fungi; Ascomycota.
AUAAGAUUUGGACUCAUUUCGGGUCCUUAAUCCUCAAACCUGUGGAAGCGAGAAGUGCUUCGGCGCCUCUGGGCGUCGAAUCUAUGCUGUUUAGCUUGUGUCUGAAGAAAAACGAAAUUUUA